GACAAAGGAUGCAAGCGUUAUCCGGAAUGAUUGGGCGUAAAGCGUAUGUAGGCGGCUUUUUAAGUCCGCCGUCAAAUCCCAGGGCUCAACUCUGGACAGGCGGUGGAAAGUACCAAGCUGGAGUACGGUAGGGGCAGAGGGAAUUUCCGGUGGAGCGGUAAAAUGCGUAGAGAUCGGAAAGAACACCAACAGCGAAAGCACUCUGCUGGGCCGACACUGACACUGAGAGACGAAAGCUAGGGGAGUGAAUAGG
This 253-nucleotide ribosomal RNA is filed under the name uncultured bacterium. Its description in RNAcentral is "partial 16S ribosomal RNA". It matches the Rfam family "Bacterial small subunit ribosomal RNA", at positions 524 to 776 of the family's 1533-position model. The record is from RNAcentral.